GAUGAUUUUGGCUCACAUUUAACAAAAACCCACCAAUUCACUAUCUCAAAAAAUUAGAAUACAUCAUAAGACCAAUAAAAAAAACAUUUUUAGUGAAUUGUUGGCCUUCUGGAAAGUAUGUUAAUUUACUGUAUAUGUACUCAAUACUUGGUAGGGGCUCCUUUUGCUUUAAUUACUGCCUCAAUUCGGCGUGGCAUGGAGGUGAUCAGUUUGUGGCACUGCUGAGGUGGUAUGGAAGCCCAGGUUUCUUUGACAGUGGCCUUCAGCUCAUCUGCAUUUUUUAGUCUCUUGUUUCUCAUUUUCCUCUUGACAAUAUCCCAUAGAUUCUCUAUGGGGUUCAGGUCUGGUGAGUUUGCUGGCCAGUCAAGCACACCGACACCAUGGUCAUUUAACCAACUUUUGGUGCUUUUGGCAGUGUGGGCAGGUGCCAAAUCCUGCUGGAAAAUGAAAUCAGCAUCUUUAAAAAGCUGGUCAGCAGAAGGAAGCAUGAAGUGCUCCAAAAUUUCUUGGUAAACGGGUGCAGUGACUUUGGUUUUCAAAAAACACAAUGGACCAACACCAGCAGAUGACAUUGCACCCCAAAUCAUCACAGACUGUGGAAACUUAACACUGGACUUCAAGCAACUUGGGCUAUGAGCUUCUCUACCCUUCCUCCAGACUCUAGGACCUUGGUUUCCAAAUGAAAUACAAAACUUGCUCUCAUCUGAAAAGAGGACUUUAGACCACUGGGCAACAGUCCAGUUCUUCUUCUCCUUAGCCAAGGUAAGACGCCUUUGACGUUGUCUGUGGUUCAGGAGUGGCUUAACAAGAGGAAUACAACAACUGUAGCCAAAUUCCUUGACAUGUCUGUGUGUGGUGGCUCUUGAUGCCUUGACCCCAGCCUCAGUCCAUUCCUUGUGAAGUUCACCCAAAUUCUUGAAUCGAUUUUGCUUGACAAUUCUCAUAAGGCUGCGGUUCUCUCGGUUGGUUGUGCAUCUUUUUCUUCCACACUUCGCCUUUUCAGUUUUAUACCUCUUGCAUAGUACAGGUCAAGCUCUUCAUUGCUUGGCUUUUUAAAAGAAAUAAAAAUACUCAUUUAUGACUUGAAAACAAAUAUUUUAGGCAGAUCCUAUUUAAAGCAAAAAUGGUAGAUGCUAUUUGCACAUUGAUAAAUACUAACACUGUUGAAGGGAAUCACUGGCAGCAUUUAUUUUGAUUAUUUGAAGUCACACAGAAACCGUACUCCUACCCCUAAACCUAAACUAAACCUUAAAGGCCUAUUCACACCAAAUUCGGGAAAAAUUUGCAAGAUGGCCCUCUGACGAAAGGUCUAUUAACACAGAGAUUGUUACUAAUAAAUUGAAAAACAAUUUCGCCCCUGUACAGUAGGCGCUGCUGUUGCUGUUUUACAAACAUAUUUCUUUUGUUUUUCUGCUCGGACUUUAUUCAGCUGUCAAUGCAUAAGAUUAUUAUACUUAAUGUUAUUAAGGUAUUUCUUUACCUGAUUUGGCAUAACUGUUAUUUCCAUGUUUUUGAUGCAAUUUAUACAAGUGAUUUGAGUAAAGAGCAUUGUUUAGGGGCGUGUCCAGAUGGGGGGCAUGGGGUGGUCCUGGCCCCCAUUUAAAUCUGAUUGACCACCCCAAAUUCUUAGCUGUGAUUGGUCAUUUCGAACGGUUAAUCGAGUGGACUCUGGGGAAAAACUGCAUACAGUCAUCCGAAAUGAAAUGAACACGCACUGUAGCUCACGCUGCCAUUCACAUCCGUCAGACCGUAACACUGAAGCGCAUUAUCUUCUUUAUUGUCUCAAAAAAUAGUAUUACGUCAUGCCACGGUAGUGUCCUCUCUCCAAAACUCCACAAAACUACCAUGUGUUUAAUGUUACAUGGUGUGCUAUUCCUAAAGAGACAGUAAUCAUUUUAGCAGCAUCCAUAACAUUUAUGCAGUUUCAAGUAAACUACAUAAAUAAAAACUUGUAUUGAAAAAAUAUUAAAAAUACAUGCAAUUUGGAGUCUUCUGUGUUUUGCAGUAUUAACAUUUAAUAAUUAAUCAAUUAAUUAAACAUUCGACUAUUACAUUUUUUUGAAAAUGUUCAUAUCUUAUUAUUAUUAUUACUGUUAUUAUUAUCAUCAGGGAUGUUGGGUUACGCUUCAUGCUACCCUUGAAUGAGACUGUGCCCCACAUGGACACCCCAGUAAGAAAGUCUGAAGGCCACUGGAGCUGCUGCACAAAUACAAGUCCUCUUUAUAUGUAUUAAUGCUCUACCACACUCUGAGCAGACAUAAGCUUUGAAAACAGUAUGUAUUCUCUGGUGUUGUUUAAAAUAGGCCAUCUGUGAAAAACAUUUCCACCCCGAGUGGUGUAAUUUCUCUAAUAAAUUAUAUGUAAUAUGAAAUCUUGGGUUUGCUUUAUUUGUAAAACUUUUCCCACAUUGAGGGCAUGUAAAAGGCUUCUCUCCAGAGUGAAUUCGCAUGUGAUCUUUGAAUGAGAGGAGCGAACUUUCACAGAAUUUGGCAGAGGAGCAUGGCACCAAACUGAAACGGAGCCCGUGGCUCUUUUUGUCCCCAUAUUUAGAAUUUCAGAGGCAUUUCUGAACUAAAUGAUCAUCGAAGGAGUUCUUCCAGGCAGAGCGAUGUGGACCAGACACAGGAUGCAGUGGUUACAGAAUGGACAGCAAGCACACAGCUGCUGGUGUACGGGCACCCGAGCGGAGGAGAUGGGAAGACAGAUGAGGUUGGAGAAAAAAUUGAAUGGCUCUUUAAAGCUGAAGAAAUUUCUGUGCCACUGAAAGGAACUGCAAAAAUAAACAGUUUUCAAAAUAGUUUUCUGAAUACGCCACUCUUCUGCCGUUGAUCAAACAAAGAGAUAGUCCAACCCCCAACUCACGCCAUUGGUAGAGUCAUAGUUUGGUGUCUGUAUGGACGGGCCACUCAAAGCAAAGAGUAAUUUUUAUAGUGCUACAGUAACAAAAUUAACAUAGAAAAAUGUACAUACUUCAAACUGUAAGGUGUGACAUCAAUUCCAACCAGUCUGUAACAUCCGAGGUUGUUACCCCUCCUACCAACCACCAGAGGGAGCCCUCUUCCGAAUACUUACUCUGUACCGUUUCUUCUUUGGUGACUUCCUGUUUAAACUAUAUAAAUACCAUGCUGUUCCAUUUUGACUUUGCAAAGUAUUGCCAGUUUACCCUGCCUUACCAAGCAUUUUUCCAUUGCCAUUGCUAAUUGUUCUCGUUAUGACCAUUGCCUGUUUUCCUGGAUUUACUACCUUUGGAUACCCCUUGGUUUUGUUUGCCUUGUUGGACUGUCUUUUUGGUUUAUUGGAUUAUACCGCCUGCUUAACAAUUACCUCUAUUUGCCUGCCGAUUUGGAUUGUUUGCUUGUGUUCUUUAAUAAACUUCCUGCACAUGGAUCCUAACACCGUCUCCAUGGCCAGUUCGUUACACAGUCGCCAUAUUAAGCAUUACAAUGUCUUCCUUUUGCAUGUAUAGGAAUGACCCAUCUCAUCCUUCAAAUCAAAUCACGUUUAUUUAUAGAGCACAUUUAAAAACAACCAUGGUUGACCAAAGUGAUGUACAGUGGCAUCACAGUCAAGACAGUAUAACAGAAAUAAUACAUUGGUAGUAGGGCAAUUUCACAGCUUAACCAUGAUUUAAGGUAAAUUAAAAGCUAAUGAAAAUAAGAAAGUUUUAAGAAACGAUUUAAAAACAGAUAGAGAGGAGGCGGUCCUGAGGUAAUCUGGUAAAAUGUUCCACAGUUUGGGGCCAGUGAUACAAAAAUCACGAUCACCUCUAUGCUUCAUCCUGGAUCUAGAAACAGACAUAAGUCCAUGAUCCCCCGGAUCUGAGUGAUCUGGUUGGGUUGUGCGGACGAACCAAAUCACAGAGAUAAUGGGGUGCCAGAUUGUUUAAUGAUUUAUAGACAAAUGUUAAAAUCUUAAAAUCAAUUGGAAAUCUAACAGGCAACCAGUGCAAGGAGAUCAGGAUGGGAGUGAUGUGUUCAAGUUUACGACUGCCCGUUAAAAGAUGUGCCGCAGCAUUUUGGACCAUCUGCAGGCGGGAUAGAGCUGAUUGGUGCAGGCCAGAGUACAGAGAAUUACAGUAAUCCAAGCAUGAAGAAAUAAAAGCAUGGAUCACAAUUUCAAAAAUUUUCCUGGACAGAAAAGGUUUUGUUUUAGCUAGGCGACGUAGGUGGAAAAAACAUGAUCUAACCACUUCGUUAAUUUGUUUAUCGAACUUUAGGCUACUAUCAAAGAAAAAGCCCAGGUUUUAAGUGUGAGAAGUGAGAUGAGGAGUGAGAAUAUCCAAAUUAAUGUUGUUCACUGUUUUAAGCUUGUUUGGUCCAAGAAGGAUAAUUUCUGUUUUACUCUCAUUAAGGUGUAGGAAAUUAUCUGUCAGCUAGGUUUUGAGUUCCUGCAGACAAGCAAAGAGAGGGUCAAGAGCUUGUUGGUCAUGACAUUUUAUAUGUACAUAGAUCUGUGUGUCGUCGGUGUAACAAUGAAAUAACACCCCAUAUUUGUUAAAGAUUGCGCCCAUAGGAAGCAUAUAUAAAGAAAAUAGGGUUGGAGCGAGGAUCGAGCCCUGCGGAACACCACAGGCAAACUGUGCCACAGAGGAGGUGUGCUGGCCCACUCCAAUCCAGAACCGUACCUUGAAUACCAACACAAUGCUCAAAGCAUGAAAUAAGGAUAUUGUGGUCAACCAGAUCAAAUGCUGAGCUAAGAUCUAAGAGGACCAGGGCCAUGACAUUCCCAGAGUCUGUAGUCAUUAAGAUGUCAUUUAGUACUUUUAGUAGAGCAGAUUCUGUACUAUGCAUAGCCCGACUGGAGAGGUUCACGGAUAGAGUUCAUUUAAAAAAAAUGACUGCAACUGGGUUAAAACUGCCUUCUCCAUAAUCUUCACAAUAAAAGGCAAGUUAGAGAUAGGCCUAAAAUUGGUACAGAUAGCAGGAUCCAAAGUGGAAUUUUGAGGAGAGGUGUCACCGUUGCAAGUUUAAGGCAAGUCAGGACAGUCCCACUGCAGAGACAGUUGUUAAUAACAGACAAUAAAUCUGGACCAAUCGUGUCAAAUAUUUGCUUGAAAAAAACGUGGUGGUA
Molecule: long non-coding RNA, 5070 nt
Organism: Myxocyprinus asiaticus (Chinese sucker)
Lineage: Eukaryota; Metazoa; Chordata; Actinopteri; Cypriniformes; Catostomidae
Exons: 2
Source: RefSeq, a predicted model, not a curated record